This 245-nucleotide ribosomal RNA is filed under the name uncultured Clostridia bacterium. RNAcentral's name for it is "partial 16S ribosomal RNA". It matches the Rfam family "Bacterial small subunit ribosomal RNA", at positions 524 to 768 of the family's 1533-position model. Lineage: Bacteria; Bacillati; Bacillota; Clostridia. The record is from RNAcentral.
UACGUAGGUGGCCAGCGUUGUCCGGAAUUACUGGGCGUAAAGGGCGAGUAGGCGGUUAUACAAGUCAGAUGUGAAAUGCGUGGGCUCGACCCACGGACUGCAUUUGAAACUGUAUGACUUGAGUGCGGUAGAGGAAAGUGGAAUUCCCAGUGUAGCGGUGAAAUGCGUAGAUAUUGGGAGGAACACCAGUGGCGAAGGCGACUUUCUGGGCCGUAACUGACGCUGAGGCGCGAAAGCGUGGGGAG